RNAcentral lists this ribosomal RNA (301 nucleotides) under uncultured bacterium. RNAcentral's name for it is "partial 16S ribosomal RNA". It matches the Rfam family "Bacterial small subunit ribosomal RNA", at positions 509 to 807 of the family's 1533-position model. The record is from RNAcentral.
CAGUAGCCGCGGGAAUACGUAGGUGGCAAGCGUUGUCCGGAUUUAUUGGGCGUAAAGCGAGCGCAGGCGGUUUCUUAAGUCUGAUGUGAAAGCCCCCGGCUCAACCGGGGAGGGUCAUUGGAAACUGGGAAACUUGAGUGCAGAAGAGGAGAGUGGAAUUCCAUGUGUAGCGGUGAAAUGCGUAGAUAUAUGGAGGAACACCAGUGGCGAAGGCGGCUCUCUGGUCUGUAACUGACGCUGAGGCUCGAAAGCGUGGGGAGCAAACAGGAUUAGAUACCUCUGUAGUCCCUGUCUCUUAUAC